RNAcentral lists this ribosomal RNA (182 nucleotides) under Thermomonospora echinospora. RNAcentral describes it as "Actinomadura echinospora 16S rRNA. Bacterial SSU". It matches the Rfam family "Bacterial small subunit ribosomal RNA", at positions 1 to 182 of the family's 1533-position model. Lineage: Bacteria; Bacillati; Actinomycetota; Actinomycetes; Streptosporangiales; Thermomonosporaceae. The record is from RNAcentral.
CUUGAUGGAGAGUUUGAUCCUGGCUCAGGACGAACGCUGGCGGCGUGCUUAACACAUGCAAGUCGAGCGGAAAGGCCCCUUCGGGGGUACUCGAGCGGCGAACGGGUGAGUAACACGUGAGCAACCUGCCCCUGACUUCGGGAUAAGCCUGGGAAACCGGGUCUAAUACCGGAUAUGACCUC